RNAcentral lists this ribosomal RNA (561 nucleotides) under uncultured bacterium. Its description in RNAcentral is "partial 16S ribosomal RNA". It matches the Rfam family "Bacterial small subunit ribosomal RNA", at positions 355 to 1376 of the family's 1533-position model. The record is from RNAcentral.
UAGGGAAUCUUGCGCAAUGGGCGAAAGCCUGACGCAGCCAUGCCGCGUGAAUGAUGAAGGUCUUAGGAUUGUAAAAUUCUUUCACCGGGGAAGAUAAUGACGGUACCCGGAGAAGAAGCCCCGGCUAACUUCGUGCCAGCAGCCGCGGUAAUACGAAGGGGGCUAGCGUUGCUCGGAAUUACUGGGCGUAAAGGGCGCGUAGGCGGAUAUUUAAGUUGGGGGUGAAAGCCCGGGGCUCAACCUCGGAAUAGCCUUCAAUACUGGAUAUCUUGAGUUCGGGAGAGGUGAGUGGAAUGCCGAGUGUAGAGGUGAAAUUCGUAGAUAUUCGGCGGAACACCAGUGGCGAAGGCGACUCACUGGCCCGAUACUGACGCUGAGGCGCGAAAGCGUGGGGAGCAAACAGGAUUAGAUACCCUGGUAGUCCACGCCGUAAACGAUGAGUGCUAGUUGUCAGCAUGCAUGCAUGUCGGUGACGCAGCUAACGCAUUAAGCACUCCGCCUGGGGAGUACGGUCGCAAGAUUAAAACUCAAAUGAAUUGACGGGGUCAUAGCUGUUUCCUG